This 75-nucleotide transfer RNA is filed under the name Chloroflexota bacterium. RNAcentral describes it as "Chloroflexi bacterium tRNA-Lys". It matches the Rfam family "tRNA". From Rfam's summary of the family: Transfer RNA (tRNA) molecules are approximately 80 nucleotides in length. Their secondary structure includes four short double-helical elements and three loops (D, anti-codon, and T loops). RNAcentral also lists the same sequence under 1 other name. The record is from RNAcentral. Lineage: Bacteria; Bacillati; Chloroflexota.
GGGCCGGUAGCUCAGUGGUAGAGCAGGGGUCUUUUAAACCCUUGGUCGCGGGUUCGAACCCCGCCCGGCUCACCA